AACGAACGCUGGCGGCAUGCCUAACACAUGCCAGUCGAACGAGACCUUCGGGUCUAGUGGCGCACGGGUGCGUAACGCGUGGGAACCUGCCCUUAGGUUCGGAAUAACUCCCCGAAAGGGGUGCUAAUACCGGAUAAUGUCUUCGGACCAAAGAUUUAUCGCCUUUGGAUGGGCUCGCGUUGGAUUAGCUAGUUGGUAGGGUAAAAGCCUACCAAGGCGACGAUCCAUAGCUGGUCUGAGAGGAGGAUCAGCCACACUGGGGCUGAGACACGGCCCAGACUCCUACGGGAGGCAGCAGUGGGGAAUAUUGGGCAAUGGGGGAAAGCCUGAUCCAGCAAUGCCGCGUGAGUGAUGAAGGCCUUAGGGUUGUAAAGCUCUUUUACCCGGGGUGAUAAUGACAGUACCGGGAGAAGAAGCUCCGGCUAACUACGUG
This 433-nucleotide ribosomal RNA is filed under the name uncultured bacterium. RNAcentral's name for it is "partial 16S ribosomal RNA". It matches the Rfam family "Bacterial small subunit ribosomal RNA", at positions 29 to 507 of the family's 1533-position model. The record is from RNAcentral.